Non-coding RNA from Dipodomys ordii (Ord's kangaroo rat), 73 nucleotides. The record is from Rfam. NCBI's taxonomy places the organism in Eukaryota, Metazoa, Chordata, Mammalia, Rodentia, Heteromyidae.
GGGGAUGUGGCUCAGUGGUAGAGCUUUUUGCCUAGCAGGCUUGAGAGCCUGGGUUCAAAUCCCAGCACCCCCA